This 88-nucleotide small RNA is filed under the name Salmonella enterica. RNAcentral describes it as "partial RtT sRNA". It matches the Rfam family "RtT RNA", at positions 43 to 130 of the family's 130-position model. Rfam says of the family: This family represents a bacterial cis-regulatory element known as RtT RNA. Lineage: Bacteria; Pseudomonadati; Pseudomonadota; Gammaproteobacteria; Enterobacterales; Enterobacteriaceae. The record is from RNAcentral.
UCGACUCGAGCGAAGCGAGAGAACGUUGCGUCAGCAACGGCCCGCAGGGCGAGCCACGCAGUGGCGAGUCAUCCUCUAUCACCGACCA